Molecule: small RNA, 76 nt
Filed under: Flavobacterium anhuiense
Lineage: Bacteria; Pseudomonadati; Bacteroidota; Flavobacteriia; Flavobacteriales; Flavobacteriaceae
Description: Flavo-1 RNA
Rfam family: Flavo-1 RNA
Source: RNAcentral
UUCUAGCACUGAUGGAAGCGGCAUCCUUUUGUGGCGGGGUUCGCCACAAAAGAUAUAGCGAACAGCAGGAUUAGCU